Molecule: ribosomal RNA, 351 nt
Filed under: uncultured bacterium
Lineage: Bacteria
Description: bacterial SSU rRNA
Rfam family: Bacterial small subunit ribosomal RNA
Source: RNAcentral
AGAGUUUGAUCCUGGCUCAGGAUGAACGCUAGCUACAGGCUUAACACAUGCAAGUCGAGGGGCAGCAUUUUAGUUUGCUUGCAAACUAAAGAUGGCGACCGGCGCACGGGUGAGUAACACGUAUCCAACCUACCGAUAACUCUGGAAUAGCCUUUCGAAAGAAAGAUUAAUACCGGAUAGUAUACGAAUAUCGCAUGAUAUUUUUAUUAAAGAAUUUCGGUUAUCGAUGGGGAUGCGUUCCAUUAGUUUGUUGGCGGGGUAACGGCCACCAAGACUACGAUGGAUAGGGGUUCUGAGAGGAAGGUCCCCCACAUUGGAACUGAGACACGGUCCAAACUUCUACGGGAGGCA